CAGCCCUAAACGAUGCGCGUUAGGUGUAUCGGUGACCACGAGUCACCGAGGUGCCGAAGGGAAACCGUGAAACGUGCCGCCUGGGAAGUACGGUCGCAAGGCUGAAACUUAAAGGAAUUGGCGGGGGAGCACAAACAACGGGUGGAGCUUGCGGUUUAAUUGGAUUCAACGCCGGAAAUCUUACCGGGACCGACAGCAACAUGAAGGCCAAGCUGAAGACUUUGCCGGAUUAGCUGAGAGAGGUGCAUGGCGUAGUCGUGU
RNAcentral lists this ribosomal RNA (261 nucleotides) under uncultured archaeon. Its description in RNAcentral is "partial 16S ribosomal RNA". It matches the Rfam family "Archaeal small subunit ribosomal RNA", at positions 748 to 1009 of the family's 1478-position model. The record is from RNAcentral.